This is an RNA transcript of Pan troglodytes (chimpanzee), 3780 nucleotides long. It is a transcript of the gene named periostin, with no coding region annotated. The transcript is spliced from 23 exons. Lineage: Eukaryota; Metazoa; Chordata; Mammalia; Primates; Hominidae. The record is from RefSeq and is a predicted model, not a curated record.
GCUCUGCAAAGCCCACUGCCAGUUCUCUUCGGGGACUAACUGCAACGGAGAGACUCAAGAUGAUUCCCUUCUUACCCAUGUUUUCUCUACUAUUGCUGCUUAUUGUUAACCCUAUAAACGCCAACAAUCAUUAUGACAAGAUCUUGGCUCAUAGUCGUAUCAGGGGUCGGGACCAAGGCCCAAAUGUCUGUGCCCUUCAACAGAUUUUGGGCACCAAAAAGAAAUACUUCAGCACUUGUAAGAACUGGUAUAAAAAGUCCAUCUGUGGACAGAAAACGACUGUGUUAUAUGAAUGUUGCCCUGGUUAUAUGAGAAUGGAAGGAAUGAAAGGCUGCCCAGCAGUUUUGCCCAUUGACCAUGUUUAUGGCACUCUGGGCAUCGUGGGAGCCACCACGACGCAGCGCUAUUCUGACGCCUCAAAACUGAGGGAGGAGAUCGAGGGAAAGGGAUCCUUCACUUACUUUGCACCGAGUAAUGAGGCUUGGGACAACUUGGAUUCUGAUAUCCGUAGAGGUUUGGAGAGCAACGUGAAUGUUGAAUUACUGAAUGCUUUACAUAGUCACAUGAUUAAUAAGAGAAUGUUGACCAAGGACUUAAAAAAUGGCAUGAUUAUUCCUUCAAUGUACAACAAUUUGGGGCUUUUCAUUAACCAUUAUCCUAAUGGGGUUGUCACUGUUAAUUGUGCUCGAAUCAUCCAUGGGAACCAGAUUGCAACAAAUGGUGUUGUCCAUGUCAUUGACCGUGUGCUUACACAAAUUGGUACCUCAAUUCAAGACUUCAUUGAAGCAGAAGAUGACCUUUCAUCUUUUAGAGCAGCUGCCAUCACAUCGGACAUAUUGGAGGCCCUUGGAAGAGACGGUCACUUCACACUCUUUGCUCCCACCAAUGAGGCUUUUGAGAAACUUCCACGAGGUGUCCUAGAAAGGAUCAUGGGAGACAAAGUGGCUUCUGAAGCUCUUAUGAAGUACCACAUCUUAAAUACUCUCCAGUGUUCUGAGUCUAUUAUGGGAGGAGCAGUCUUUGAGACGCUGGAAGGAAAUACAAUUGAGAUAGGAUGUGACGGUGACAGUAUAACAGUAAAUGGAAUCAAAAUGGUGAACAAAAAGGAUAUUGUGACAAAUAAUGGUGUGAUCCAUUUGAUUGAUCAGGUCCUAAUUCCUGAUUCUGCCAAACAAGUUAUUGAGCUGGCUGGAAAACAGCAAACCACUUUCACGGAUCUUGUGGCCCAAUUAGGCUUGGCAUCUGCUCUGAGGCCAGAUGGAGAAUACACUUUGCUGGCACCUGUGAAUAAUGCAUUUUCUGAUGAUACUCUCAGCAUGGAUCAGCGCCUCCUUAAAUUAAUUCUGCAGAAUCACAUAUUGAAAGUAAAAGUUGGCCUUAAUGAGCUUUACAAUGGGCAAAUACUGGAAACCAUCGGAGGCAAACAGCUCAGAGUCUUCAUAUACCGUACAGCUGUCUGCAUUGAAAAUUCAUGCAUGGAGAAAGGGAGUAAGCAAGGGAGAAACGGUGCAAUUCACAUAUUCCGCGAGAUCAUCAAGCCAGCAGAGAAAUCCCUCCAUGAAAAGUUAAAACAAGAUAAGCGCUUUAGCACCUUCCUCAGCCUACUUGAAGCUGCAGACUUGAAAGAGCUCCUGACACAACCUGGAGACUGGACAUUAUUUGUGCCAACCAAUGAUGCUUUUAAGGGAAUGACUAGUGAAGAAAAAGAAAUUCUGAUACGGGACAAAAAUGCUCUUCAAAACAUCAUUCUUUAUCACCUGACACCAGGAGUUUUCAUUGGAAAAGGAUUUGAACCUGGUGUUACUAACAUUUUAAAGACCACACAAGGAAGCAAAAUCUUUCUGAAAGAAGUAAAUGAUACACUUCUGGUGAAUGAAUUGAAAUCAAAAGAAUCUGACAUCAUGACAACAAAUGGUGUAAUUCAUGUUGUAGAUAAACUCCUCUAUCCAGCAGACACACCUGUUGGAAAUGAUCAACUGCUGGAAAUACUUAAUAAAUUAAUCAAAUACAUCCAAAUUAAGUUUGUUCGUGGUAGCACCUUCAAAGAAAUCCCCGUGACUGUCUAUACAACUAAAAUUAUAACCAAAGUUGUGGAACCAAAAAUUAAAGUGAUUGAAAGCAGUCUUCAGCCUAUUAUCAAAACUGAAGGACCCACACUAACAAAAGUCAAAAUUGAAGGUGAACCUGAAUUCAGACUGAUUAAAGAAGGUGAAACAAUAACUGAAGUGAUCCAUGGAGAGCCAAUUAUUAAAAAAUACACCAAAAUCAUUGAUGGAGUGCCUGUGGAAAUAACUGAAAAAGAGACACGAGAAGAACGAAUCAUUACAGGUCCUGAAAUAAAAUACACUAGGAUUUCUACUGGAGGUGGAGAAACAGAAGAAACUCUGAAGAAAUUGUUCCAAGAAGAGGUCACCAAGGUCACCAAAUUCAUUGAAGGUGGUGAUGGUCAUUUAUUUGAAGAUGAAGAAAUUAAAAGACUGCUUCAGGGAGCAAAUUGAAAACAUGUAUAUAAUAGAAAAAAUUGGACUUCAUGCUGAGUAUAGAUGAUACAUAUAAAAGAAGUCGAAAUUUGGAGAAAACAUUUUAAAAGAUAAGUAGAAAAAUGAAGUAACUGUAGAAACCGUAUUUACUCUUUGAUCUCAAAUGCCCAAAAACUGAGUGAAAAUGUGAAUUUAGGCCUACCAGGUAGUCUUGUCAAUAAACUAAAAGAAAAACAGGAAAAUUGAGAAAUAUGUUACAACUAUAACAACACAAAACAGCAUAGUUUUGAAACACUUGCAGUUCUUAAAUAUAAAAGCUUUUAUUAGUUAAUUUUUAAAAAGGAUCUCAUAGGAUUGACACUGAAUCAGGUUGGGAGGUGGAAUAAGGGUGAUGGCAUAUUCUUUCUGAAUUACUUAUUAUAACAUUUCUAGAAUCAUUAGGUCAGUGCUACUUUGUUGUCGUCAAUGUACAAUAAAGGAAUCACAAAUUGAUCUUAGUGAUAAUUUUACAGAGGCAGACAUUGCACAUAGGUAUGACUGCAAAAAUGGGUGGCUAACUCUGGGAAGAUACUUGUGUUAAACUUUAUAUGACAUUUAAUAACCCUUCAUCAUAAGGCAAUGUUUUUUACAAAAAGAUUGAAAAAAUCAUGUAAGUCAUUUACUCUGCAAAAAUGGCACAUUAGGUGGGGCUCCAAAAUCCAUAAUGAAACAAUGUGUUUUGCAACUAAGAAACAUUCAUUAUGAUAUAUGGAAAACACUGUCUGUCUACUUGUCCUUUACGAAAAAAUGUAAAACUCUGAGGAUCAUAAAAUUUAACUACUAAAAAUAAUCUUCGUGUUUAAGUGAUACUUAUUUAAGACUUUACACUGUUCUGUUUAACCAUGGUCUCCUGUCUGAUUUUAGCCAUAAUUGCAAAGUAUUUCUAACUACAACAAUUUAAUUUUAGACACACCCGUGAGGAAGUUGCAAGCCAACAAAAAAGUUCAAGGAUCUAGAAGACGAUUAAGGGAAGGUCGUUCUCAGUGAAAAUCCAAAAACCAGACAAAAUUGUUUAUACAACCCUAAGUCAAUAACCUGACCUUAGAAAAUUGUGAGAGCCAAGUUGACUUCAGGAACUGAAACAUCAGCACAAAGAAGCAAUCAUCAAAUAAUUCUGAACACAAAUUUAAUAUUUUUUUUUCUGAAUGAGACACAUGAGGGAAAUUGUGGAGUUAGCCUCCUGUGGUAAAGGAAUUGAAGAAAAUAUAACACCUUACACACUUUUUCAUCUUGACAUUAAAAGUUCUGGCUAACUUUGGAA